CCUACGGGAGGCAGCAGUAGGGAAUCUUUCACAAUGGGCGAAAGCCUGAUGGAGCAACGCCGCGUGCAGGAUGAAGGCCUUCGGGUUGUAAACUGCUUUUAUAAGCGAGAAAUAUGAUGGUAACUUAUGAAUCAGGAUCGGCUAACUACGUGCCAGCAGCCGCGGUCAUACGUAGGAUCCGAGCAUUAUCCGGAGUGACUGGGUGUAAAGAGUUGCGUAGGUGGCAUAAUAAGUAGCUAGUGAAAUCUGGUGGCUCAACCAUUCAGACUAUUAGCUAAACUGUUAAGCUCGAGACCGUUAGGGGUAACUGGAAUGUCUAGUGUAGGAGUGAAAUCCGUAGAUAUUAGAAGGAACACCAAUAGCGUAGGCAGGUUGCUGGGACGGUUCUGACACUAAGGCACGAAAGCGUAGGGAGCAAACGGGAUUAGAUACCCCAGUAGUC
RNAcentral lists this ribosomal RNA (442 nucleotides) under uncultured bacterium. Its description in RNAcentral is "partial 16S ribosomal RNA". It matches the Rfam family "Bacterial small subunit ribosomal RNA", at positions 338 to 795 of the family's 1533-position model. The record is from RNAcentral.